Molecule: non-coding RNA, 167 nt
Filed under: Crystallibacter crystallopoietes
Lineage: Bacteria; Bacillati; Actinomycetota; Actinomycetes; Micrococcales; Micrococcaceae
Description: Arthrobacter crystallopoietes SAM-I sequence
Rfam family: SAM riboswitch aptamer (S box leader)
About the family: The SAM riboswitch is found upstream of a number of genes which code for proteins involved in methionine or cysteine biosynthesis in Gram-positive bacteria. The SAM riboswitch acts at the level of transcription termination control.
Source: Rfam by way of RNAcentral
UAACCAUCCCGAGCGGCUGAGAGACCUGGCUCUAUGACGCCGCAGCAACCCUGGUCACGACGAAUCUCCCUGGAUUCGCGCUGAUAACAAGGAACUUGUCGAGGGCUGCGCCGAACAAGCGCAGUAAGACCUGUUCCGUAGGGUGCUACUGCCAGGACCGAUGGAGU